CCGGCACACACUUGCAGCGGGGGGGGGGGGCAGGGCCCACGGGUGCCUGGCCCGGACACCGCUGUGACAUGCCACCAGCAUGGACACAUGUGCUACACGCUAAGAUGCAGAUGUCAGGCACGCGCAGCCCACACACAGCUGACACACGUCGCAGGGACCCUCAUAGACAAGCGCAUCACAUACAAAGGUGGACAGCCAUCAGCAGACGGGGACACGUACACGUCACACACAAAGACGCAGGGACCGCACUGGAAACGCACAGGCAGGCCAGCUUCCAGCACAGAUGCACCCGGCCACGCAGGAACGUCAAAGCAUCACAAAGACCCACACAUGCCCCAGACAAAGUAAAGCCCCAGAUCCACAGACGCACACGCCACAGACAAAGAUCCCCACGGACACCACUGUGACAUGCUGACACUCAUAGUCACAGCCACGCAGACAGUCCCUAGACAAAUGGGCAACAAAGAAUACCCACAGGCACAAGUAUCACAUACAUGCACGUCACACAGACAUGCACAGACAGCAAUUGCACAGACACACGCAGACACACACAUCACAUGAACUAACAUAGACACGGACACAGCAGCUACACAGAGACAGGCACAUCACAUACAUGAGUACACAGAAACAUAAUACAUGCAUGUAUAUGGACACAUAACAUGCAUCACUCACACGGACACAAGCUUCACUCACAUGGAUACACACAGACACACUACAUACACAUGCAUACGGGCACACACAACUCAUACAUACAGGGCUACAUAAAUCACAUGCAAAAAUACACAUAAAUACACCACACACUGAUACAUACAGACACAUAUAACAUGCACAUAUACACAGUCACACAUACAUAAGCACAGACAUAGGCACACAGAUCAAAUACACAGACACACAGAGUUGCACACAUCACAUACCUAAACAGACAUGGACACACACAUCACAAAUACACACACCUUUCACACAAGGUUACAAAGACACAGAACCCCACCACAGUCACACAUCACAUACAUAAACACGCACUGGCACACAUAACACAUACAAAGAGUCACACACCCACAACACAGACAGACACGCGCACAGACACACGGGUCGCAAAUACCCACGUUUCCCGUGCGGUUACGCAGACAUUACACAACCACAGCACUUGCCUCAUACAAAAGAUACAUGAUCAUAGUUUAUUUAAUGUAUUUAUUCUUAUGAGUAUUUAGUCUGUGCCAGGUAUCGUCCGCAGCGUUUUACACGUACAGAAUUACCUCUCAAUCCUCACAACCGCCCUCUGAGACAGGUAUUUUUUAAUCAUGCCCAUUGUACAGAUGAGGCAACUGAGGCACAGCGCGGGGUAGUCACCUGCCCCAAGGCACACAAGCCGGGGAGUGGCAAAGCUGGGACUGGAACCCGGUCCAUCGGGGACAUCGACACAUCAGACAAGGACACACAUACAUCACGUGCCAGGCCGCCGCCGUCUCGGGGUCACAUCCCACCCUCCAGCGCCCCGAGCUGCAGACACACCCGGAAGCGCGGACUCCCACCCUGGGCGCGGACCUCUCCAUCGUCCGUGAGCACCUGCGAGGCGUUCCCCUGGGUGAGGCUGGGCCGGAGCUGCGCACCCAAGACGCAGCCUCAGCAACACUCGGCGCAGGCGACCCAGCCCCCAACCCCAACCCCCAGCAGGGGCCCAGGGCUUUCCACCAAAACGCGCAGCCGUGGCGCACACCGGCCGGGCAGUGCACACUCCCCGCAGAGCGCAGCCGUCCUCAUCGGGGGGCUCAGGGGAAGGGGCUGCCCUCGGGGUGUCUCAUUGGAGAAACUGAGAUCUUGCCACUUCCCCAUUGGGAAGUGAAGACUAUGGGA
This 1851-nucleotide long non-coding RNA is filed under the name Pan troglodytes (chimpanzee). RNAcentral describes it as "long non-coding RNA NONPTRT008173". Lineage: Eukaryota; Metazoa; Chordata; Mammalia; Primates; Hominidae. The record is from RNAcentral.